UGUAUAAUGGGUCAGCGACUUAUAUUCUGUAGCAAGGUUAACCGAAUAGGGGAGCCGAAGGGAAACCGAGUCUUAACUGGGCGUUAAGUUGCAGGGUAUAGACCCGAAACCCGGUGAUCUAGCCAUGGGCAGGUUGAAGGUUGGGUAACACUAACUGGAGGACCGAACCGACUAAUGUUGAAAAAUUAGCGGAUGACUUGUGGCUGGGGGUGAAAGGCCAAUCAAACCGGGAGAUAGCUGGUUCUCCCCGAAAGCUAUUUAGGUAGCGCCUCGUGAAUUCAUCUCCGGGGGUAGAGCACUGUUUCGGCAAGGGGGUCAUCCCGACUUACCAACCCGAUGCAAACUGCGAAUACCGGAGAAUGUUAUCACGGGAGACACACGGCGGGUGCUAACGUCCGUCGUGAAGAGGGAAACAACCCAGACCGCCAGCUAAGGUCCCAAAGUCAUGGUUAAGUGGGAAACGAUGUGGGAAGGCCCAGACAGCCAGGAUGUUGGCUUAGAAGCAGCCAUCAUUUAAAGAAAGCGUAAUAGCUCACUGGUCGAGUCGGCCUGCGCGGAAGAUGUAACGGGGCUAAACCAUGCACCGAAGCUGCGGCAGCGACGCUUAUGCGUUGUUGGGUAGGGGAGCGUUCUGUAAGCCUGCGAAGGUGUGCUGUGAGGCAUGCUGGAGGUAUCAGAAGUGCGAAUGCUGACAUAAGUAACGAUAAAGCGGGUGAAAAGCCCGCUCGCCGGAAGACCAAGGGUUCCUGUCCAACGUUAAUCGGGGCAGGGUGAGUCGACCCCUAAGGCGAG
RNAcentral lists this ribosomal RNA (792 nucleotides) under Escherichia coli. RNAcentral's name for it is "partial 23S ribosomal RNA". It matches the Rfam family "Bacterial large subunit ribosomal RNA", at positions 609 to 1400 of the family's 2925-position model. Lineage: Bacteria; Pseudomonadati; Pseudomonadota; Gammaproteobacteria; Enterobacterales; Enterobacteriaceae. The record is from RNAcentral.